RNAcentral lists this transfer RNA (68 nucleotides) under uncultured Prevotella sp. It matches the Rfam family "tRNA". Rfam says of the family: Transfer RNA (tRNA) molecules are approximately 80 nucleotides in length. Their secondary structure includes four short double-helical elements and three loops (D, anti-codon, and T loops). Further hydrogen bonds mediate the characteristic L-shaped molecular structure. tRNAs have two regions of fundamental functional importance: the anti-codon, which is responsible for specific mRNA codon recognition, and the 3' end, to which the tRNAs corresponding amino acid is attached (by aminoacyl-tRNA synthetases). tRNAs cope with the degeneracy of the genetic code in two manners: having more than one tRNA (with a specific anti-codon) for a particular amino acid; and 'wobble' base-pairing, i.e. permitting non-standard base-pairing at the 3rd anti-codon position. The record is from RNAcentral. Lineage: Bacteria; Pseudomonadati; Bacteroidota; Bacteroidia; Bacteroidales; Prevotellaceae.
GGUAAUAGCUCAGUUGGUAGAGCACUAGCUUCCCAAGCUGGGGGUCGCGGGUUCGAACCCCGUUUACC